GAUGAACGCUAGCGGGAGGCUUAACACAUGCAAGUCGAGGGGCAUCACGAGGUAGCAAUACUUUGGUGGCGACCGGCGCACGGGUGAGUAACACGUAUGCAACCUUCCCUGUACAGGGGGAUAACCCGGAGAAAUUCGGACUAAUACCCCAUGAUGAUAUUUAUGGGCAUCCAUUGAUAUUUAAAGCUCUGGCGGUACAGGAUGGGCAUGCGCGACAUUAGCUAGUUGGUAAGGUAACGGCUUACCAAGGCCACGAUGUUUAGGGGACCUGAGAGGGUUGUCCCCCACACUGGUACUGAGACACGGACCAGACUCCUACGGGAGGCAGCAGUGAGGAAUAUUGGUCAAUGGGCGCAAGCCUGAACCAGCCAUCCCGCGUGAAGGAAGAAUGCGCUACGCGUUGUAAACUUCUUUUCCAGGGGGAGAAUAAUCCUGUCGUGACAGGACUUGACGGUACUCUGGGAAUAAGCAUCGGCUAACUCCGUG
This 486-nucleotide ribosomal RNA is filed under the name uncultured bacterium. RNAcentral describes it as "bacterial SSU rRNA". It matches the Rfam family "Bacterial small subunit ribosomal RNA", at positions 28 to 507 of the family's 1533-position model. The record is from RNAcentral.